This is a long non-coding RNA of Gallus gallus (chicken), 5935 nucleotides long. RefSeq lists it as uncharacterized. Lineage: Eukaryota; Metazoa; Chordata; Aves; Galliformes; Phasianidae. The transcript is spliced from 4 exons. The record is from RefSeq and is a predicted model, not a curated record.
ACUGCAGGCAGAAUCAGCCUCCCACAGAUCAGCAUUCCCUUGGAGCUGCAGGAGAUGGGCAUCUGCCAUGAUGCAGUAUGUGAGCCUAUGUUAUGAUAGGCUGUUAUCCUAACCUAAAACCUGUUUUGGUUUUAGAAUUACAGGUUAAUUUUAAGCCCAGCAUUAACAGAUUUUCCAAAGCUGUAAAUUGAAGACUUGCUCCCUAUAGAGUGGUGAAGAAAAGAUGCAACAGCUGAAUGUGGUAGUUGGACUUGGGACAGAUGGCGUGCAAGAGCAAAUGCUCCAGAAGGGAAAGUGGUUUUACAGAGAGGGAUUACAUGGGCUCUACGCUGACUGAACAGUCCUGCACUGCUCUUCGAAUGUUUAACUGUUGUCACAGAACUAAAGUUGAUGCCUCCUCCCCAUCUCACAUGUGGAAGAGGAGCUGCAGUCCCCAUGGGCUCCCUGCAUGGCUCAUGAAUUUCCCAGAUGAUUCUCCAGAGCGGUGAGGAUGCUGAAACUGGGGAAGUUGUGUGGAGGAUUAACACUGUUUUACUGGGAUCUGUCUCUAAAUUGUUAUGUGUAAAAUAACAAGCAUGGAUUUCAGGAUUGCUACUGUGAUACAGUCAUGUGCUAGAUUUUGGUUAUUGAGUGUCCCUGAGGAGAGAAAGAGAACGUCAGCUAAAAUGUUGAAUGCUUUGUUAGUGAUUGCCAGCAUGCUUGAAAAGCUGAAGCUCAUGGAAAGAGUAGGUUUUGAGCAACAGGGACACACUAUGCAAGACUGCCCUUGCUCUGGUGGUUACGCUAGCUGCGUUACAGACCCCGCUCUUAUGAGGGUAACAUGCCUAGGGAAUAUAAAUAGAACAAACCUGCUGUGGUCGCAUAUAAGAAGACUGUAACUCAGUGGCUCUGCCAUAUACGUGAGUUACGUAAGUGCCAUUUUGGAAAUCUUGGCCUCACUUUUGGCUGCUCCAUGACAGGAAACAAACUCCAUGGGUGUGUUGGAGUCCUGCAGGCCUCCUGCUCCUGUCUGGCUUCACGGACUGGGCUCUUGCUGUAAGAUUUUGCAUCUCUCGUUGUACCUCCUGCUUUGUCUUUAUUGCAAAGGAGCAUGGCAGAAAAGAGCCUGUGCAGCUCUACAAAUGAGGGCAAAUAAUAAACAGAUAUAGAAGCUCUGUGAUUUGGUGGGAAUAUCUGUAACAAAGCUAGGGCUAUGAAACUGGCAUUUCUACUGGCUGCUUUGAACCAAUUUUAUUCCACUGUGGUGCAAAGAAUUCAUUUUUUCUGUGUAAAAGAUGGUGAUGUUAGGAAAAUCCAUGCUGUACAUUUACUGAUAGUGUUAUUCUGCCAUAGCUCUAACUGCUGUACUACAGGAACAGCAGUGGUACUUCUGAAGCUUUGAAACAGCAAAGUGUGACAGCCUCUAUGUGUCACCCUCCACUGAUCAACACUGUAGCUCUUUACCAUCUGGGUUUUGGGGAACCUCUCAUCAUUAAGGCUGUUCUGGUGUGUGUUCCUGUGUUGCCAGCUUGCAGUGCAGUAUCCAAGCCAUUCAGAUGGUCUGGACAGUCGCUGGGCACUGCUGGCAGUGGUGCUCAGGCAUCGGGCUGCUCGGCACCUGGGGCAGCGCUGGAGGCAGUGUGUCACACGUGGCCUGUUGCUGCUGGGGCUGGCAGGCUCUGGCAGCUCACACUCACCCCAGCUGAUUCAGGCAGGCUGCAGCUCAGCCGUGUGCUUGAAUGCGGGCCGUGGGGAUGUGCUACGGGGAUGGUCCCUCUUUGGGCUUUCAUGGGAGAAGGAAUAGAUCUGCUGAGAGGCCGUGGUGCCACCCUUACUUCCCUUCAGGUACCUCUGGAGGAGCCUUCAUGUAUGAAACCACGAAGGCAUCUGCUUUUACCUUACAUGUUGCGUCUAUGAUAAAAGCCAUGUGUGACCUUUUCUUCUUCUGUUAGAGGAAGAGGCCCAUCUGGCCUUAAGUUAAUGCUUUUCCUUUCUCAAAUCCUGUUUUUCUAAGCGUCUCACCAAAACACUCACGUUGUUUUUCGGACAAAUAUCUAGAGACCAACUCUGCUCUGAUGAAAUAGGAACCAAAGCUCCCCUCCGUGCCCAGCGGCCACACACGGCUGGCACCAGCAGCAAUGUGCCCACUGCCCAGCCCAGCCCUGGGCUGCACAGAAGUGCUGUGAGAGCUCUGGCUGAUGGAACAGCGACAGGGAGAUUGUGUAACGUGCUGUGGGCUGUGAGAGUCUGAGAGGUUAGCAGAAAACCUGCUUAUGGUUUAUUGUCACGGCCAGGCCUUACUGGAAAGGAAGCCCAGCGCCGCCUUCAAAGGGAGCUGCUCAGUGCUACUGAGUGUUUGAUACUGUUUCCCUGCAUGACUCUCCUUCAGCUGCUGUCUCAAGAAGGCAGCACUGAGCGCUGUUCUGAGAUUUUAUGAGCAAGUGCAGAGGCAGGAAAGGCUCUUUCUCAUACAGUGUGCUGCACCGUGAUUUCUGUGUGUGAUGUAUGGUGUAAAGCAGCCCUGGCUGUUUGCUGCACCCCCGGUGCACAGCGUCACUGGGAGAGCCCCUCCAGCACUCCCAUCUGGGGUGGCUGGGCAAGAGUUUCUUGGAGUUACGUUGUGACACUGUGUCUGCUGUGGAAAUAGCAGUAAGCACAGAGUGACCUCCUCUCUGCUAACGCCCUUCUUAAAAAUCCAAGGCUUGGAGCAGAAAGAGCCAGAUGUAGAAGCCUCUGUUUUUAGUUUGAGACGUGUCCCUUUAAAGCUCUGCUGUGGUUGGGUCCGUCUGUGCUUGUCAUUCCUUUGUUAACCAAAAAUCCCAAGCUGAGGAAAAUGAAGAACCGCUUCGCAGUUGUAGUGAGAUGCAAGAGGCCGUGGGCUGUGGCAGAGCCAGAACUUCUGCUUGGGAUAAAAACUAUUUGAGUGACUUGGAACUGCGGAGCUGGCUCACUUCGUUGUGCUGCCUUCAGAUGGCCGGACGUUGUGCUGAGUCAGCAGUGUGCUCCACAGCCUGUGCUGUUCCUUGGCCGUGCCUCGGGCCGGAGCACGCCUUUGCACUGAAGCCCUUCCAUCCUUUCUUUUCAGCUUACUCACAGAUGCACUUACAUUUCCCUGCUAACUUUCAUUCUGCUCUUGUGACUAGCUGCUGUGGCAGUGUCUCUUCUUCCUUCCCACGGAUUGUGGAGCGCUGAUGUGGAUGUCUGAUUUCAGGAGGUCUGCUACCAUUCCAAUUUUGUUUCCCUUGUUCCAUGCAUGCACAUUCUUCUCGCUCCUGACAGCUAUGGGGACUAUCCUCUGACUUGUGUGCCCAGCUGCAAAGCAGAGAUUUUGCUGAGUGCCAAAAAGCUCUUGUGUUUCUCUUGCAGUGACUGGGUUCCAGGUUCUGCUCGAAGGAGCAGAAAGAUCCAAUUUCAGCCAGUUGGAUUUUCCCAAACCAGCCCUCCCCCUCCCCCCCCCACUGGGAUGGCCACACAGUGCUGCUGUGUUUGGGUGUCAACACCUUCACACAGGAAUCUGUGCAAGGAAACCUUCUGGCAACUAAUCCCCAUGCAUCGUGUUUGGGAGUCCUUUAGGGAGAGGCUGUGACCCCACAGAGUCCCCUGCCUGCAUGUGUUUUUUCCAAGUGAGCAUUCAGACUGCUGCUCUUUCUGCUGGUUUUUCACAUUUUAACGAGUCCCGGGCCACAGACGUACUUAGCUCAAAAAUAAAUAAAUAAAUAAAAUCAGGAAAUGCCCCAUUAAUGCACUGGAGAUAGAAUCAGGCUGGAAAACUCCAAGAUGGACUGUAAUAGCACUGACCAUGAUGUAAAACCUGUGUGUUGAGCCGGCCAGAUGCCAGGAGCCUCAGGCUCUAAUCACAGCGCUGAGCUUGGCUAAUAAAACUAAAGAAGAGUGGAAAGAAAAAGGAAAAAAAGAGGCCUUGUUUAAAUUUCCUGAUGUUUCUCUAGGCACGCUCCUCUUGUCACAUGCUUUAACAAUGUAAGAAUUGCUCUGUUUCUAAGGUCUUUCAGGUGAAAGGUGUUCUCCAACCUCUGGCAGCCCCAGCCUUUCCAGGUCUCCUUGCCCAUCAGCACCAGCACAGCCAGCGUUUCAGGAGCAGCUGCUGAGCGAUGCCCUGAAGCUCUGUCUGCAUGGCUGCAUCACAGAGAGUAGCACGGACUGUCUUGCAAGAAUGGAAAACUGUGAGAAAGAAUGUGAAGGUACAGGAAGGCAAUGUGUCCAUCUGAAGUUUAUGGAAGUGCAAUUGCCAGUAUGCACCUCGGGUCUAAAGCAACAUUCAGACUGAUACUUAAAGUAGCAGUGCGUGUCUUGCUAGUUGCCCUUCCUCUCAUGGGUAUCACAGCUUUUCUGUGCUUGACUCUUUUUCAUACCCUUUUUCUGUAUGGAAUGGGAAAGUAAGAAUAGCUGGAAUGUUUGUGCAUUUCACAAAAUGGCAUGAAUUAUAGCACGCACAUAAAAAAGGGGCUGGGUUCCUUUUCUUUCUUGCUGCUGUGAUUGCAAAAAAGAUCUCGCUCUACAAAGAGGCACUUAUUGCAAAUCUUAUGCGAAGCAGCUGAGGGAACUGGGUUUGUUUAGUCUGUAGAAGAGGAGGCUCUGAGGAGACCUUAUCACUCCCAGCUGCCUCAGAGGAGGUUGUGGUGAGGUGGGGGUCGGCCUCUCCUCCCAGGUAACUGCAACAGGACGAGAGGGAAUGGCCUCAAGUUGUUCCAGGAGAGAUUCAGGUUGGAUAUUAGGAAAAACUUAGAAGAAGUGGUGAGGCAUUGGAGCAGGCUGCCUGCCUGGGGAGGUGGUGGAGUCACUGUUCCCACAGGUGUUUAAGGAAAGAGUAAGGGUGGUACUCAGGGACACAGAGAGUGGGCAAUGCUGGUGGCAGCUGGACUGCUGAACUAGAUCAUCUUAGAGGUCUUUUCCCACCUUAAUGAUUCUGUGAUUAUUAGAGGUGUGACUAUUCUCUAUUAGUGGAUAAAAACAAUUCAUAGAUCUCUUGGGAACUGAUAAUAGUAAGACCUUUGGAUACAGAAGAAAAGCUGAUCUCUAAGAGGACUGAGGAGUAGGUUCAAAACUGGAAUAUAUUCCUGAAGCCAAUUACUGGGAAGAAACUGAGAGUUUUGCCUAUGGAGUACAGAAUUGGAACUCAAGUUAUGCACGCUGAUUCAACAACUGUGCUAUUUUUGGCUUGUGAACUGUUCAAAUGGCUGUUUAUUUUUAAGGUCAUUUUCUGUUUGCAUAGCAUAUACACCCUUCUGGUGGGUGGGAGGCAUUAUAAAAACAAUCGCUGCUGCUGAGAAUUAUGAACUAAACUCGAAGAGGGAUGGCAGAAAACAGAACUUGGUGUACUUACUACUUUAAAAAACAUCUGUUUAGGUCAGAAGGUUUGUUGACCUACCCCAAGCUGUGGCCCCACCGGAAAAAUCCCAUUCCAAUUAAUAUAGACUACCACAGGGGAUUGCAAAAGACUUGGGAAAACUCAGACAGAUGAUAAAAUGGUAUAAACAGAAAGGAAGCGUCAGGUUUGGCAAUUUCUUCAAAAAUAUUCACCUUCUGGUAGUAAAUGCAAGACUAAAAUGUCCAUCCCGUGGCUGAAGAGUUGCUAAGAGCUGGAUUUCGUGCUGGCUGGCUGUGCCUCAAUCACAGCAUCUGUGCCAUUUCUUUUUCAGGCUCAUGUAAAAUAACACACUUCACUGACAUAUUUUUCUGGCUUCUUCCUGGUAGCCAUAUCUUUAUUCUCACACAGUCAAGUAAUACAAAUUGAUUGGACAGUGGCAGUUUACAAAAGAAAGUAAGAAUGAUUAUUUUGAGCUUAAAUUUAAAAAAUCUCAACCUGGCCACGUGGCAUUCAAUGCCAUUUUUAGACCAGAAACUGGUAAGGAAAUGGUUUAUAACGUUGGCAGUGGAUUCUCAGCCAUGUUCCUUUCCCAGAAAAUAAAAUACACCAUAUAAAAAUAUACUAGAAUUA